AACGAACGCUGGCGGCAGGCCUAACACAUGCAAGUCGAGCGAGCAUUUCGGUGCUAGCGGCGGACGGGUGAGUAACGCGUGGGAACGUGCCCUUUUCUGCGGAAUAGUCCUGGGAAACUGGGGGUAAUACCGCAUACGCCCUUUUGGGGAAAGAUUUAUCGGAGAAGGAUCGGCCCGCGUUGGAUUAGGUAGUUGGUGGGGUAAUGGCCCACCAAGCCGACGAUCCAUAGCUGGUUUGAGAGGAUGAUCAGCCACACUGGGACUGAGACACGGCCCAGACUCCUACGGGAGGCAGCAGUGGGGAAUCUUAGACAAUGGGGGCAACCCUGAUCUAGCCAUGCCGCGUGAGUGAUGAAGGCCUUAGGGCUGUAAAGCUCUUUCAGCUGGGAAGAUAAUGACGGUACCAGCAGAAGAAGCCCCGGCUAACUCCGUG
Molecule: ribosomal RNA, 433 nt
Filed under: uncultured bacterium
Lineage: Bacteria
Description: partial 16S ribosomal RNA
Rfam family: Bacterial small subunit ribosomal RNA
Source: RNAcentral